GACGAACGCUGGUGGCGUGCUUAACACAUGCAAGUCGAACGGGAUUUAUUAAAAAGAAGCCUCGGGGGAGGAUUACUAAUGAGAGUGGCAAACGGGUGAGUAACCCUUGACCAACCUGCCUAUAACGGUGGAUUAGCCUCGGGAAACCGGGAUUAUUCCGCCUUAAAAUGGUGAAAAAAAAGUUUUUACCGUUAAAAGAUUUAUCGGUCAUAGAUGGGCUCGCGUCUGAUUAGCUAGUUGGUGAGAUAACAGCCCACCAAGGCGACGAUCAGUAGCCGGUCUGAGAGGAUGAACGGCCACAUUGGAACUGAGACACGGUCCAAACUCCUACGGGAGGCAGCAGUGGGGAAUAUUGCACAAUGGGGGAAACCCUGAUGCAGCGACGCCGCGUGAACGAAGAAGGUAUUCGUAUCGUAAAGUUCUGUCCUAUGGGAAGAUAAUGACAGUACCAUAGAAGAAAGCUCCGGCUAAAUACGUG
This 478-nucleotide ribosomal RNA is filed under the name uncultured bacterium. RNAcentral's name for it is "partial 16S ribosomal RNA". It matches the Rfam family "Bacterial small subunit ribosomal RNA", at positions 28 to 507 of the family's 1533-position model. The record is from RNAcentral.